RNAcentral lists this ribosomal RNA (433 nucleotides) under uncultured bacterium. Its description in RNAcentral is "partial 16S ribosomal RNA". It matches the Rfam family "Bacterial small subunit ribosomal RNA", at positions 29 to 507 of the family's 1533-position model. The record is from RNAcentral.
AACGAACGCUGGCGGCAUGCCUAACACAUGCAAGUCGAACGAGACCUUCGGGUCUAGUGGCGCACGGGUGCGUAACGCGUGGGAACCUGCCCUUAGGUUCGGAAUAACUCCCCGAAAGGGGUGCUAAUACGGGAUAAUGUCUUCGGACCAAAGAUUUAUCGCCUUUGGAUGGGCCCGCGUUGGAUUAGCUAGUUGGUAGGGUAAAAGCCUACCAAGGCGACGAUCCAUAGCUGGUCUGAGAGGAUGAUCAGCCACACUGGGACUGAGACACGGCCCAGACUCCUACGGGAGGCAGCAGUGGGGAAUAUUGGACAAUGGGCGAAAGCCUGAUCCAGCAAUGCCGCGUGAGUGAUGAAGGCCUUAGGGUUGUAAAGCUCUUUUACCCGGGAUGAUAAUGACAGUACCGGGAGAAUAAGCGCCGGCUAACUCCGUG